GUUUAAUUGUUAAAAUCUUAGAUGAAACCUGCCCAGUGAUAUUUUAUUUAAAUUGAAAAUAUUUAGUAUAAUAUUAAACGGACGCUGUAAUCCUAAACGGUGAUAAUGUAGCAUAAUCGGAUGCCGUUUAAUUGGCGGAGAGUUGAAAGGUUUAACGAAUAUUUCAUUGUCUUAAUUUGAAAUCUUAUAAAAUUGAAAUAAUAGUUAAGAUGCUAUUUUUAAUUGUAAGACGAGAAGACCCUAUAGAGCUUUACUAUAAUUUUCUUGAAAAUAAAAGAAUAAAAUUAUUCUUUAAAAAAGAAAAGGGUUAGUUUAGGUGGGGGGCCUGCUUAUUAUUAGAAACAUAAGAUAGUAAUAUUAAUUAAAAAUUUAUUGUUUAAAUUAUAAUUUUAACAAUUAUUAAAAUAGACUAAAAGACCCGUUUAUAAAAUAAAAUAUUUUAAACGAUUAAUAAAUAAAAGCUACCUUAGGGAUAACAGAGUAAUUUUGAUUAAGAGAUCAUAUUUAAAUCAAAGUUUGCUA
This 522-nucleotide ribosomal RNA is filed under the name Calycophorae sp. LC-2017. RNAcentral's name for it is "partial 16S ribosomal RNA". It matches the Rfam family "Bacterial large subunit ribosomal RNA", at positions 1831 to 2523 of the family's 2925-position model. The record is from RNAcentral. Lineage: Eukaryota; Metazoa; Cnidaria; Hydrozoa; Siphonophorae.